GGUGACUCAAUGGUAGAGUGCUUGCCUUGCAUGCAUGAGGCCUUGGGUUUGAUUCCUCAGCACCA
Molecule: transfer RNA, 65 nt
Filed under: Dipodomys ordii (Ord's kangaroo rat)
Lineage: Eukaryota; Metazoa; Chordata; Mammalia; Rodentia; Heteromyidae
Rfam family: tRNA
About the family: Transfer RNA (tRNA) molecules are approximately 80 nucleotides in length.
Source: Rfam by way of RNAcentral